AAUAUUGGACAAUGGGCGAAAGCCUGAUCCAGCCAUGCCGCGUGUGUGAAGAAGGUCUUCGGAUUGUAAAGCACUUUAAGUUGGGAGGAAGGGCAGUAAGUUAAUACCUUGCUGUUUUGACGUUACCGACAGAAUAAGCACCGGCUAACUUCGUGCCAGCAGCCGCGGUAAUACGUAGGGUGCGAGCGUUAAUCGGAAUUACUGGGCGUAAAGCGUGCGCAGGCGGUUGAUUAAGACAGGCGUGAAAUCCCCGGGCUCAACCUGGGAACUGCUUUCAAAACUGGCAAGCUAGAGUAUGGCAGAGGGUGGUGGAAUUUCCUGUGUAGCGGUGAAAUGCGUAGAUAUAGGAAGGAACACCAGUGGCGAAGGCGACCACCUGGGCUAAUACUGACACUGAGGUGCGAAAGCGUGGGGAGCAAACAGG
RNAcentral lists this ribosomal RNA (424 nucleotides) under uncultured bacterium. Its description in RNAcentral is "partial 16S ribosomal RNA". It matches the Rfam family "Bacterial small subunit ribosomal RNA", at positions 360 to 776 of the family's 1533-position model. The record is from RNAcentral.